UAACGGCGAGUGAAGCGGCAACAGCUCGAAUUUGAAAUCUGGCCUCGGCCCGAGUUGUAAUCUGUAGAGGACGCUUUUGGCGCGGUGCCUUCCGAGUUCCCUGGAACGGGACGCCACAGAGGGUGAGAGCCCCGUAAGGUCGGACACUAAGCCUCUGUAAAGCUCCUUCGACGAGUCGAGUAGCUUGGGAAUGCUGCUCUAAGCGGGAGGUAAACUUCUUCUAAAGCUAAAUACUGGCCAGAGACCGAUAGCGCACAAGUAGAGUGAUCGAAAGAUGAAAAGCACUUUGAAAAGAGGGUUAAAUAGUACGUGAAAUUGUUGAAAGGGAAGCGCUCAUGACCAGACUUGCGCCUGGCGGAUCAUCCGGUGGUCUCCACCGGUGCACUCCGCCUGGCGCAGGCCAGCGUCGGCUGUUGCGGGGGGACAAAAGCUCUGGGAACGUAGCUCUCUCCGGGGAGUGUUAUAGCCCUCUGCAGAAUACCCCCGCGGCGGCCGAGGUCCGCGCUCUGCAAGGACGCUGGCGUAAUGGUCAUCAGCGACCCGUCUUGAAACACGGACCAAGGAGUCGAGGUUUUGCGCGAGUGUUCGGGUGCAAAGCCCCAGCGCGUAAUGAAAGUGAACGCAGGUGAGAGCUUCGGCGCAUCAUCGACCGAUCCUGAUGUAUUCGGAUGGAUUUGAGUAGGAGCGUAAAGCCUCGGACCCGAAAGAUGGUGAACUAUGCCUGUAUAGGGUGAAGCCAGAGGAAACUCUGGUGGAGGCUCGCAGCGGUUCUGACGUGCAAAUCGAUCGUCAAAUAUGGGCAUGGGGGCGAAAGACUAAUCGAACCAUC
This 829-nucleotide ribosomal RNA is filed under the name Acremonium cf. alternatum CBS 109043. RNAcentral describes it as "eukaryotic LSU rRNA". It matches the Rfam family "Eukaryotic large subunit ribosomal RNA", at positions 84 to 944 of the family's 3401-position model. Lineage: Eukaryota; Fungi; Ascomycota; Sordariomycetes; Hypocreales; Bionectriaceae. The record is from RNAcentral.